Long non-coding RNA from Vigna angularis (adzuki bean), 540 nucleotides. RefSeq lists it as uncharacterized. The record is from RefSeq and is a predicted model, not a curated record. The transcript has 4 exons. Lineage: Eukaryota; Viridiplantae; Streptophyta; Magnoliopsida; Fabales; Fabaceae.
GUCAAACAGUGUCCUUUCUCUUCUCCAUUUAGUUCACACGCAUUCUCUUCUCUCGCUCCUGGCAACAAUCUUCAUAGGUUCUCGUGUACUGGCAUUUCAGAGAUUCUGCCAUUUUCAUAGUUUUUGGUACUGAUCAACUUGAUCUCAAAUUACUGGGAUCAGAAAGGUCAAUCCAAGCUCUUGGAGGUUAGCUUUCUGAAUAUGAUGAUGAUGUUGAUGAAGAUGGAAAAGUGGAGGACAGGACAAGUUGUGCCGGAUUGACAUACAAACCAUGAGCUGUUGAUGUUGAUGAACAAACUUAAAAUACCAUGCAAAUCACGAGCUGCAUGUUGAGAUAGGUAGAUCAGGUCGUGUCGGACUAGUUGGGCUAGUUAGAACGAAUUAUACUAGGUUGACAGGUUGAAUAAGUUGUCUUGGCUCACAUAUUUUGGCUCGACCCUUUUUACCACCUCUAAAAGUAGUUUGAACCAUUUGGCAUUCUAGCUAUUGUAGAUGACCAACUUUCAUAGCUAACACCAAUUUAUUUCCAUCUUUCUAGUA